This 497-nucleotide ribosomal RNA is filed under the name uncultured bacterium. RNAcentral describes it as "partial 16S ribosomal RNA". It matches the Rfam family "Bacterial small subunit ribosomal RNA", at positions 28 to 507 of the family's 1533-position model. The record is from RNAcentral.
GAUGAACGCUGGUGGCGUGCCUAAUACAUGCCAGUCGAGCGAACAGACGAGGAGCUUGCUCCUCUGACGUUAGCGGCGGACGGGUGAGUAACACGUGGAUAACCUACCUAUAAGACUGGGAUAACUUCGGGAAACCGGAGCUAAUACCGGAUAAUAUAUUGAACCGCAUGGUUCAAUAGUGAAGGACGGUUUUGCUGUCACUUAUAGAUGGAUCCGCGCCGCAUUAGCUAGUUGGUAAGGUAACGGCUUACCAAGGCAACGAUGCGUAGCCGACCUGAGAGGGUGAUCGGCCACACUGGAACUGAGACGCGGUCCAGACUCCUACGGGAGGCAGCAGUAGGGAAUCUUCCGCAAUGGGCGAAAGCCUGACGGAGCAACGCCGCGUGAGUGAUGAAGGUCUUCGGAUCGUAAAACUCUGUUAUUAGGGAAGAACAAAUGUGUAAGUAACUAUGCACGUCUUGACGGUACCUAAUCAGAAAGCCACGGCUAACUACGUG